GUAGAACUUUUUGCAAAACUGAUAAAAGCAACCAGUCAACAAGAAUGUACUAAACCUCCUUCAGCAUUGACUACUUAGUCAAAGGCUGGGGAGGUUUGGGGCAUGUCUGUGAAACUCACCCAUGCCAUCUGGAAAGGAAAAAGUUAAGUUGCAUUUCUGCAAUACAUUCUCUCCCUUCCCUGAGCUGCUCCUGGAAUAUAAAGAAAGCAAGGAAAUAUUUACUGGGCCUUCAGCUUUCUGUACUACUUCGGAACAGCACUAGCAUCUAUCUCAGGGUUUAAAAUAUGGAAGUUCUUGCCUUCCUUGAAUCUUUUCUCCCAGAAAUAACAUAUUGGCUCUCUUCCCUGUGACAUGCCUCAUCUGACAUUGGCUGGCUUUCAUAUAAAACCUUUGUUUUAGCCUACUAUCAAUUCAACUUUUACAUUGACAAAACGUAAUUUUUGGUUGUCAAUGUAAAAGUUGACAUUUUUACAUUCAACUUUAAUUUAAAUGCUGAAUUUAAAUUUAAAUGCUGAAAAUUUAUUUAAACACUUAAAAUGAUAUUAGAAGAGGUAUUUUAUGUUUUUAAACAGAGAUAUAUUUCAUUUUUAUAUGCAGUCAACAGAUCACAUGUGUAUGUCUCUUAUGUGUUCCUGUGUGGGAAUAGCUUGAAUUACUACAUAAGUUCUCUGAGAAUAUUAAGUUCAUUUAGGGGAACAGGACAUAUCUAUAUGAAAAAC
RNAcentral lists this long non-coding RNA (719 nucleotides) under Homo sapiens (human). RNAcentral describes it as "FSIP2 antisense RNA 1". Lineage: Eukaryota; Metazoa; Chordata; Mammalia; Primates; Hominidae. The record is from RNAcentral.